CUAUCAUGGGCAUUACCCUUACAACCCCCAUGACGGACCUUAAACCCAACCCUACUCAUGAAGACCCUGGGGCUCAAAAUAUCUAACUGACUGCCAGAGUCAUCAAACCAUCUUGAAGAAGGUAAAAGCUUUUCAGCUACAGGUACAUCUGCAGUCCACCCCCAGCCAACAGAGAAAAUAAAGAGCACUGAAUGCAGUGAAGACAGAAUAAAGGCCUAGGCUGCAGGGCUGUGUGUGCCCCCUGGCAGA
Molecule: non-coding RNA, 249 nt
Organism: Myodes glareolus (Bank vole)
Lineage: Eukaryota; Metazoa; Chordata; Mammalia; Rodentia; Cricetidae
Source: RefSeq, a predicted model, not a curated record